AGUAGAAUGGCUGAGUUGUUUAAGCAAUAAACUGUAAAUUUAUUUACGAAUCAUACGAGAUUCUUCUACUA
This 71-nucleotide transfer RNA is filed under the name Pseudabris przewalskyi. RNAcentral describes it as "tRNA-Tyr". It matches the Rfam family "tRNA". From Rfam's summary of the family: Transfer RNA (tRNA) molecules are approximately 80 nucleotides in length. Their secondary structure includes four short double-helical elements and three loops (D, anti-codon, and T loops). The record is from RNAcentral. Lineage: Eukaryota; Metazoa; Arthropoda; Insecta; Coleoptera; Meloidae.